Molecule: unclassified non-coding RNA, 22 nt
Filed under: Mus musculus (house mouse)
Lineage: Eukaryota; Metazoa; Chordata; Mammalia; Rodentia; Muridae
Description: oocyte_clustered_small_RNA9893
Source: RNAcentral
CUCGGAGACAUUCUCUUCCAGA